GAUGAACGCUGGCGGCGUGCUUAACACAUGCAAGUCGAACGAAGCAUUUGCGACAGAUUUUUUCGGAAUGAAGUUGCUUAUGACUGAGUGGCGGACGGGUGAGUAACGCGUGGGUAACCUGCCUUGUACUGGGGGAUAGCAGCUGGAAACGGCUGGUAAUACCGCAUAAGCGCACAAUGUUGCAUGACAUGGGUGGAAAACUCCGGGGGGAUUAGAUGGAACCGGGUCUGAUUAGCUAGUUGGUGGGAUAACAGCCCACCAAGGCGACGAUCAGUAGCCGAGCUGAGAGGGUGACCGGCCACAUUGGGACUGAGACACGGCCCAGACUCCUACGGGAGGCAGCAGUGGGGAAUAUUGCACAAUGGAGGAAACUCUGAUGCAGCGACGCCGCGUGAGUGAAGAAGUAAUUCGUUAUGUAAAGCUCUAUCAGCAGGGAAGAUAGUGACGGUACCUGACUAAGAAGCUCCGGCUAAAUACGUG
Molecule: ribosomal RNA, 480 nt
Filed under: uncultured bacterium
Lineage: Bacteria
Description: partial 16S ribosomal RNA
Rfam family: Bacterial small subunit ribosomal RNA
Source: RNAcentral